Molecule: ribosomal RNA, 252 nt
Filed under: uncultured Bacteroidales bacterium
Lineage: Bacteria; Pseudomonadati; Bacteroidota; Bacteroidia; Bacteroidales
Description: partial 16S ribosomal RNA
Rfam family: Bacterial small subunit ribosomal RNA
Source: RNAcentral
UACGGAGGAUGCGAGCGUUAUCCGGAUUUAUUGGGUUUAAAGGGUGCGCAGGCGGAGGUGCAAGUCAGUGGUCAAAUUGCGGGGCUCAACCCCGUACUGCCGUUGAAACUGGCAGUCUCGAGUUGGAGAGAAGUAUGCGGAAUGCGUGGUGUAGCGGUGAAAUGCAUAGAUAUCACGCAGAACUCCGAUUGCGAAGGCAGCAUACCGGCGCGCAACUGACGCUCAUGCACGAAAGCGUGGGUAUCGAACAGG